AUGUAAUCAUCUAGGAUACUUAGACAUGUGAUUCCCACAUCAUGUGCCAGGAAAAAUAAAUCAGGAUCCCUGGAGAUGGGAGCAGAAUCCAAGACAUACAAGUAAUUCUAAUAAGCUUCCCCCCUUUCCUUUAUAUUGUAAAUGCAGUGAAAGAAGAAAACAUGACCUACAUGGAACUCUGGCCCCCAUGGCCAAGGUCAAAGUCAUCAUCAUCAUCAUCAUCAUCAUCAUCAUCCACCCACACUGCCCUUCUGUUAUUAAAGCGUGUAUUUUACCAUAAUGGAUCGUAUUCAUCAUGAGUAACCUGAUUAUUCCCUUGUGAUCUCCUCC
This 330-nucleotide long non-coding RNA is filed under the name Fukomys damarensis (Damara mole-rat). RNAcentral describes it as "lncRNA (ENSFDAG00000028572.1)". Lineage: Eukaryota; Metazoa; Chordata; Mammalia; Rodentia; Bathyergidae. The record is from RNAcentral.